UUCGCCGACUCUUCAUCAAUCUUCUAAACCAAAUGAGGGUGGACUUGCCGCUGCUUGCGUGAGGUUGAAGGUUGCUAUGUGGAGCUACGAUAUGUGAUGCCAACCCUGCCCAACCACAUGUGGAUCCUGAUAUGUGAUGCCUACCCUACCCAAUCGCAUGUGGACACGGAUCGUAUGAGGUCUGCAUACUGCAUGCAGAGUCAAAACCCUACAAAAAGACGAACGUGCGUGCAUGACACAUGGAGUCUGCAGACUGCAAGCAAUGCAUAGUAAACUAGCGCGAACCUCAGCUGGACGACCGGCGAUUUUCCUGGGCGGUUGAUGUGGAGGACCUGUGGAUGUGGUCAUUUACGUAAGCAACUGAUCAAUUAAAACUGGAUAUGGAGCAUUCACCUCGAUCAACGUGCAAAGCAACCGAUCAAGUCUACCUGUUGAUGUUAACUUCUCAAUCACAUGAGGAUAAUGCGCGCAUCCCUCUUGUAAUGUUAACUUCUCAAUCGAUAGUUAAUGUUAAUUUCUCAUUCUCUUACUUAUAAAUAGCGUAUUUCCACGUAAAAAUUUCAUAACAAAAUCAGUUAGUCUCUUAAUCUUUAUUUGAAAAUUAUUUUUACAAAAAAUUAUUCAAAUCAGUAAUUGUUUAGUCUUUUAAUCUUCAUUUAAGGAUUCUCUACAAAAUCAACAUUUCAUCAUAAAUGUAGUACUUGGUAUCUACACAUUGAUUUAUUAAUUUGAUAAUGACUAAACGAUCAUCGAUUUGAAUGAUAUUUUUUAAGGAUGAUCUUUAAAUGAAGAUUGAGAGAUUGAUCAAUUCUUAUUAUGAAAUUUCAUAUUGAAGAUAUGUUAUUACAAGUGGAGGAAUGCGCUUAUCCCCAAAGAGGAUGCAAGUAUUAUCCUCACAUGAUUUAUGAAAGAAAUUAAGCAAUGUGUUUUUUUUUUCCAUUAAUGUAAUGACCAUCAUUAAUUAUAAAUUUUUUAAUUAGGAUUAGGGUAAUGGUUCAAUUCCUUUAAUCGUUACAAAAACAAAAGAUAAGAAGUUUAUGCAGCCAAAAAUAAACAUAAAGGAAAAUAAAUUAAAGCAUAAAACCCCUACCGCAUCCUGUGCAAGAAAAUAAUCAAACAGAGAGUUCUUGACAUAGAGGUCAGGUCCCUGACAACUUUGUACAUAUCAUGGUUACCUCUUAUUUUUCAUGAUUUUACCUUUCUGCCUUGGAAAAAUAUGGUCUUCAGAAAAUUUCCCGUGAUUGUUGCUUCUUGGACAUUUUUCAAAGAUGGCAAAAAAUAAUUAAAUUAAUAUUCCCACUUUGCAGCACCAUUAUUUUCGAGUGAAUUAGUAUUAACAUACAAUUAAGAUUCCAGUUCCACAAUUCAUGUGUUUGUGUUUCCAUUCCAAUUAUUUAGCCUCUGUUCCAAGUAACAACUGUACUUAUAAAGUCCGGGUUUCUUAUUCAGAUAAUUUAUAUUUUAAGUCUUUUUUAUAUAUUUAUAAUGCUAUACCUUCUUUUUGCUUUUCUAUUAUUUGAGUUUUGUUAAAUCCUGAUCGAAUCUCCUUCUUUGGUAUCAGGCUGUUUUUUAUAUGCAGGUGAUUUGAAGUUGGAGUCACUUCUAUAGUUUUUGAGUGAACUUGGGCCACAAUUAAGAAGAUCCCUAAAUUAAUUACCUCUAUUUUCUUUAUUUGGGCCACAAAUUAUUUUCUUUAUUUCGUUCGUUGCAUGUGUUUGGACUUUGCAUAAUCUAAAUUUGUAUUGAAAUAAGCGGCUGCACCUUUUAUUAGUUAGUUAUUACAUACCCGUAUUCUAGAGGACAUUUUUUAAGUUUGAUUUCUAAAUCACACGAUGGUUACCAGGAUAAGCUGAAAAACAUCUAUGAGUAUUUUCUGUCUCUAAAAAGUAGAUUGUUGUAGUGAAACCACUAACCAGUCCAUUUUUUACUAUGCAUUUACAAAAUCACAACAAAGCUACAGAAUUCAAUCAAAGCGAGCCACAUCUAAGUAUAAACUCAUUCAUUAUGAAUAUAUAUUUUCUUUGUUAUAUAUUUACUUGAAUCCAAUCUGAAAUCUUUUUUUAAUUAGUUUGUACGAACCAUGGCUAGUUUCAAAGAUGUCCUUAUUUUAGCUUUAUUGUUUGUUUAUCCAGUGCCCCUCCCGCAUGAUUAAUUUUGAUAUGUAUCGAUUGAAAGUUGUGAUAUUUUGUUAUGAGUAAUGUGAGGGAAACUAAAUUUGUAGACAAAAUUUAGUUUGCAAAUUUUUUCUACAAAUUAUUCUCCCUAACAUUACUCUUUCAAUAUGGGUAAUGCUAGAUUUGGAUGAUGUGGGUGAUUGGAUUAUUACUCAAGUGUUGAUUAACAUGCUCAUUUCUUAUUGGUGACACAUUAUUUAGUUUGUAAAUUUGUUAUCCCUAGCAUUAUCCAAUAUGUAUUCAGAGUAAUGUUAGGUAAACCAUUUCUUAGACACAUUUGUAAACCAUGUGAUAUGUCACAAAUAAAAAAUAAGCACAUUAAUCAAUACUUAAGUAAUAAUCAAAUCAUCAACAACAUAGUUUACAUUGCUUAAAUUCAUGGUCUCGUCAACAUUAUCCAUAUAUCAGCUGCUUAUUAUAUCCAUGUGGAGUUUGGACUCUUCCAUGCAUUAAAUCUCUUUCAGAAGCGCUACGUUUAAGGAGAGAGAUUUAUCUGUAUACACGUCGACUCAAAAUCUCAAGUUGCGGGAAGACAGCGCACAUGUUGAAUGCCUUCACCCACCAAGCACGUUGGGAUCGAUUGAUUACAAUGAUUUAGAUAAGUUCGAGACAUCGAACUUCCUCUAGAGCAAAACAUGAUCAAAUGGACGAAUUUUUGGAGUGAUUCAAAUUGGAGGACGUUCAUGUGUCUCUUGGCGUGUUCGUAUCAAAAUUUGGGAUUUUUCUACUAAGCAGUUAUUUUCUGGCGACGGAAUAAAGGAGUAGUGCGUAGUACUGGAAAAUAAUGUUUCUAGGCUUAAAUUGCGUUUUUGGAGCCUGAGAGGACCUCUGAUGGGUUUGUGGCUUUCUGGAAAAGUGUUCAAAAUAUUCCAAACCUUAAAUCCAUUUGUAUUGGGCCGAUUUUGGAUUAGUUUAGGGGUCCAAAACGUGGCUAUUCAGAUUUUAGGCGAAUUUUCCCAUUUAAUUUAGGGUUAUGUUUCAUAUUUUAUUUUAGUUUUUAGUUUCCUAGUUGGAUUGGAAGACAUUUUAUUAGGAGGAUUUAAUUUCUGCUAGGUUAAAUAAGGUUGGCCGGCUUCAUUCUUUAAAAAACUUCUUCUCUGUGCGUUCUUGAAGAGAGGAAUUUGGCCAAGCGUAGAGAUUUUCAGACUUCUUCCAUUCUAGGUGUUUUCAAUCUUUUAUUAUUUCAAUAAAGAACUCUAUGAUUUUUAUUA
Long non-coding RNA from Pyrus x bretschneideri (Chinese white pear), 3385 nucleotides. RefSeq lists it as uncharacterized. The record is from RefSeq and is a predicted model, not a curated record. Lineage: Eukaryota; Viridiplantae; Streptophyta; Magnoliopsida; Rosales; Rosaceae. The transcript is spliced from 2 exons.